AUGUACAAGUAGUACAUUCCGGUUCCUGCGCUCCGGACGCGCCCAACCUGACUGCGCUCGCGACAUUUUUAAGACA
RNAcentral lists this small RNA (76 nucleotides) under Methylophilales bacterium RIFCSPHIGHO2_02_FULL_57_10. Its description in RNAcentral is "sX9 sRNA". It matches the Rfam family "Xanthomonas sRNA sX9". Lineage: Bacteria; Pseudomonadati; Pseudomonadota; Betaproteobacteria; Nitrosomonadales. The record is from RNAcentral.